GUAUCCCGUGCACCAUCCCCUGUUGGCGUGCAGGUGCACUAGCUAGAGGGUUGUCCGCGUGAAACCCAUGGUAGCCUCCAGGCUUCACAUGUAUCUCCUACGCCACCGUGUCGAAGCCGUGGAGGCGUGGACUAUGUGCGUACGUGGCUGCCGGAUGUGGGCGUCGCCAUGCCUGCUGAUGAAGAUUGGACGAGGCGAGCAUGGUUGUUGUACGGGGUCGUGUGCUGCGUCAACGACGUGACAGUCCGCUCCACUUCAAAGUCGGUUAGGCAUGGCGUGGUGCCCGGUCGGUGUUCGGCGGGUCGGGCGAGUAGAUACGGGAGACGGGCCAGCGGCAUGGUGGCGCUCCGCUCAACACUUUUUUUACUCACGAAACUUCGCUCGACAGCCAGAGGCAGGAAGUCGACCUGUUUGUUGGUGUUUCUGUGUGGGGCUCCAUGCAGUUGGCCCAUUGGCAAGCUUCAAG
RNAcentral lists this long non-coding RNA (466 nucleotides) under Hordeum vulgare. Its description in RNAcentral is "long non-coding RNA (HVUL_LNC008253)". Lineage: Eukaryota; Viridiplantae; Streptophyta; Magnoliopsida; Poales; Poaceae. The record is from RNAcentral.